GAUGUCGAAUGAGCCUGAGGCAUCCCUAGCAAGUAAAGGAUUACUCUGCUACUGAGGGAUGAUUUGAAAUCUAACAUGACCACAUCCAUUGAGAAUAAUGGUGCUUUGUUAAUGGGAAAAAGUAUAUGCUGCCAAACAAACCUAGCUUGGUGUAAGAAUAUGUGAAAAACUUUAAAAAUAAAGCUUGUUUGGAAAGACAGCUGAUCAUUAAUCCCUGCAUCUGAGAUGUCUGGAGCAUCCUCACAUGGCUGGCCAGUACAGUGCAGGACCUACUGCAGGUCCACAGCUUUCAGAAGCACCACCUAGAGACCCAGUAUACUGCCAUGGGUCACACCAAGUGUACCUAAUCUAAUACAUGGCCUCAGUCUUCCUGUUGACGAUCAUUUAUGCACAGGGAACCCUGUGCUUUCCUUGUCCAUAAACCUCAGAGGCUCUGAAACACUAAUUGCUGUAUUUUAUUUAUCUCCAGCCUGCCUAGCAUUUGUUAAUUGACCUGGUAUGGAGUAAAAUCCUGGCAUUUCUUCCUUCCCAAAGGAUCCUGUGAGUUGGAUGGAAGACAAAUGAAUUUACUUUGUCUUCAAAUGCUGGUGACAGGGAAGAGACCUCAUCUGAAAUGUUGCUCUGUCUGAUGUGGAGAACUUUGAUCCAAAUUUCUCCUGAGGAUCUGGUUGUCUCACCAGGAAUAAAACCCAAGGAAAAACGGCUUUGCUUUAUUUGGUUGUUUUAACUGCAUCAUCUCCGUUAUUGUGAUGGGAAGGUGAUACAAGAAAGGGUAGAAUGAAAAAAAGUGGAGCCAUUUUUGCUGUGAGAAGAAAGGUAUGUUGGAAUCAUGUCUUCAUUCAGUUUGCAGCUCUUUUUACUUUGGCAAUGCUGAGCCAAAGAUUUAUCUCAGUCAGGAACUUAUUAAGACUCCAGCAUACUGUAAUUUCGAAUAGCUUCCCUCUGGCUGUGAUUCAAUAUUUAUUGUGGCCUUGUUAUCAAUACAGCUUAAGGAGGUCCUACCCUUCUCUUGGGUGGACACAGCUGAGAAAUGGGUCAGGAAAAAAAAAAAUAAUCAGUGUUGAAAACAGCCUCUGCUUGCAAGAAACCUUGCUUGAGCAACCUGGUCUAGUGGGAGGUGUCCCUGCCCAUGGCAGGAGGGGUUGGAACUAGAUAAUCUUAAGGUCCUUUCCAACCCAAACUAUUCUAUGAUUCUAUGAAACAGGCGUGCGUCGUAGAAUAAGAGGGAGUGAGGGGUAGUAGGCAGGAGCUUAUUGAGAAGUUAUUGCUGCCAAAGCUCCCAUACAAUCAAACUAUAGCCUCAGAUACUGUGGAUUGCCAGGUAUCAGGGUACAGCUUGAAACUUUUAUCAGUGCACAACAAAUCCAGGGAAUGCUGCUAGUCCUGGGGGUGAAGAGCCGAGGAUGCAUGUGAAGCAGCACAAACAUGGAGAAAUGUAACUCAGCGCAGUGUCCCAAACAUGGAUGAAAACACUGUGUAAUUGUUAAGGCCAUGAUUUCGUGGAUCCUUUGAAAAAUAUAGAGUAUUUAUGGAGAGGCAGACCCACUACACACAGGAGAUCUCCAUAGAUUGCAAGAGCACACCAGAUACCUGUGGAGGAUAUUGUGUAUGCUGUGUUUAUAUAUAUUCUCUGAGAUAACGUUUGUGCUAUCACAACUGGGGGAUGCUUUUCAGCCUUUCUCUGUGCACAGAAAAGAAAGCUGAGUGUUUGUCCCAGUUUCUUUAGAAAGCUCUUAAAUUAACAUCUCUUAAGUGGGCAUAUUUAGUCAGCUGUUCAAACUGCAUCCAAUUUGUGCAGUUAAUUUGAUCUCUGCUUGGCAUGACCUUUUGCCCAAUUGAUUAACACCUUGCAAAUCAAAUUAAUUUCAUUCUGAUUAUCUCCAACUUACGCAUCUCCAAUUUAGGCAUACUCUAGGCCUGAAAUUACUAUUAUGUACUCAGUGAUGAAGAAAUCUGACACCUAGAUGUAUAAACUAUCAGAUCUCAUGCAAAGACCUAUAUUGUCUUGUGAUGAUGUGGUCUUUGAUUAGUAAUAGCUACUGUUUAUGUGAUGCCUCUGAAAACAGAGCUAGU
Molecule: long non-coding RNA, 2073 nt
Organism: Pezoporus flaviventris
Lineage: Eukaryota; Metazoa; Chordata; Aves; Psittaciformes; Psittacidae
Exons: 3
Source: RefSeq, a predicted model, not a curated record